ACUAAAUUGACACAACUCUUGCCUUCCUGCAAAGCAAACUUGUUUUAUAAUUGUAUUUCUCAGCCAGUGCUCACCUCAACAAAGAUCCACCUCACUAAGCUGGAUUUUGCCAGAGAUCCUUCUUCUUUCUCUAGCAGAAGAAGGGCUUGCUUUUGAUAGAAGUCACACUUGCAUGGGUGACUGGGGUGAGUCAUGGACCCAACAAUCCCACUUCACCCCAAAUACAGGUUUUAGCACAUCCUGCAGGCAACAUUUGCUCAGAUGCUCCAUAUGAUGAGGCAAAGCCCAUUACACUUUCUGGCAGAGUCCCUGAAGGAUGGGCAGUGGUACAAAAGCAGUCGUCCUCCCUUCUUUCCGCCCCCACACCCCAGAAGUGGGAGAGGGGAAACAGCACCAGAACACCAUGUCCCAUGUGUCCCUGUAUUGGCAGUGACUAACUGAGGCAGAGAGUGAUCCCUGAUACAAAAUAAAAUUGUUAAAAAUAAACUCCAUGACUCAUCUAUUCAUGGCAAGGAGUAUGAACCUUUUGGAAAUGAAUUCACUUGUGUUCUGUGGUCUAAACAAAACCUGACAAAGUGAAUUUUUCCCUGCCUAGACCUGUGGUUGGUGUCAAAGGAACUGAGCUUUUUCUCCAGUUUGAAAGUGGGACCUGAGAAGGUGGUUGUUUUCUAGGUCAGAUCUCUGCUAAUGCUUCAGGAUUGUAGGGUGGUAUUUGUACAUCAGUGAUAGAUGUAUUGUCCUCGUAGAAUAAAGUACACACCUUUAUAGACAUGAUGAGAAUUGUUUAUUGGUAUUCUUCAGAACAUGAUUAAGUUCCUCAUUUAGAUAUUCCUGAUGGCAGUGGAACAAGUUACCAGACCUUAUGAUAUUUUCUUCCCUAAGCUUUUCUUCAACUUACUUCCCUGAAAAAAUAAUUUUUAAACGCUAGGUUGGCUGAGAAGGUGCUCCUCAGUGGGGCUUCUGGAAUAUCUAUGAAGUUUAAAGUAAAGUUGGUGCAUAUUUCCCAAUAAAAUGAUAAAAUGAACCAAUAUAUGAUUAUUUCUGCAAGAUCUAAGCAGUCUCUACCCUUUCUGCUUAUUUCUAUUCCAUGCCCUGCUUUUUCCUUACGCAAGCUUUUCCAAUCAACUUUUUCUCAAGCUGAGAUGCAAACUGGAUCACUGAAGCAAUCCCAUUAGAGAAAUGGGUUUUUCAGGCUUUUCUGUGUGGGAGAGUAGGAUUUUGUUUUUUUACUCCAGCCUGUUUAAUCAGUCCUGUUUACAGCCUGGCCAAACAAACAAUUGCACCGCUACAAGCAAGGGCAUGGCAAAGGAAGACAACAAGCAGCUAGGAAGGGCAACAUGGAAAAAGGAACUUCUUGAGCUGUUUGUGUUUUUCUUUCCACCGCAGCCCAGCCAGCUGAGCACCCAGCUGCAGCACUGUUGCACCUAAUUUGUGCCCAUGAGGAGAGUAGUAGAGAGCAACCCUGACCUGGUGAAAAUUAGAAAUACUGCAAUGCAAUGCAUACUGCAGCACCUCUUGAAAGGGAAUUGCCAGAAUUUAAUUGCAUCCUCCUCUUCUUAAACAAGUUCAAAAUAGGCUUUCAUACCUAGAGGCGAUUUUUUGGUUAUUGGGAAAUGACACAGUAGAUGCCCUGCGAGCCAGUUUCCCCCACACUCAUAAGAAAAAAGGUCAAUGGACAGAGAGGGAGUGGAUUUCCCUAGAAAAAGCCUUUGUGCUUUCAGCCAUCAGACCAUCAUCAUUGCAGGGACUGCCUGGUGGAUCUGCGUCCUGGAGUGGUGGUGCUCAUGGACAAAUCCCCGGCCCAGACUGGUCCCCUGUGCUUUCCCCAUGCCCUUGGCUCCCAGCGGCACUGGUGCACCAAGGCUGUGUCCCUGGGGCUCUGCACAGGGAGCAGAGGGAGCUCUGCCCCAGCACAUCCUGCUCCCCAGAAGGCAAGCUGGUGACUGCAGGGAACAGAAACAGCUGUCUAAGGCUGCCAGCUCUGCCAGGCUGAUGGCAUAGGAAUUGCAUCAAAUAAGGGAAAUUGACUCCUUGAUAUGUUCUGUUUUUAAAAUGGCCUGUGAUGUUACAUGAUAAGUUGUUUUAGGGCUUGUAGGUCAUUAGCUCAGAGGAUCUGAAAAAAUAAUAUCUGAAGACAGACUUCUAAAGGAUUCACUUUAAAUAGCUUAUUCUGUGAGAAUGAAAAAACAUCAAACUAAAAUUAUUGCAGAACACCGAUUCCCAUCUCUUUUACACUGUGGAAGUGUCAGUGUGCAAGAUGGAAACUCAAGCCCACUGGGACAGUAAAUAUUUUGAAUCUGUGUUUUUUUGCAAGAUGGAAGAAAACAAAGCAGCUGCCCACAAGGUUUCAUCUGCUCUGAGUACCAUGGCAACUCCACCAGUGAAGGGGGGAGACGAGUUUGGUCCAUUGCUUGGCAGUACCUUGAAAAGUAUACCUGGAGGUAUAAGUCAUCUAAAUACUAAUGAAAUUUAGCCACCUUUUGGAUGGCCUAUCUCAUAUAUUUUUUUACUUUCUUCUUUUUCCUUCAAAAUUUAAAAGGAACUUUGAUUUUGUUAGCGUUUGUAUUAAAUAUUUGUCCUCCAUUAAGAUGGUAUUGAUAUAAUUUGGCAUGCAUACUGUUCUUAAGUCACUGAAAAGAGUGGUAAAGAGCACUGAAGAACACUGUUUGCCAUGGAUCACUGUUUGCCAUGGAUCUGAAAAUGUAUAAAUAUUAAUAUAUUUAUUUAAUGUAAGAAAAUUAAUAGGCAGGAUACAUUUUGAUGCACAGUUCUGAAAUCUGGCUCUUUGUCUAAAGCCAAUGUAAAAAAUAAAUGGGUUUUAAGCCUAUGUAAAGUUUAAAUUAUCCAGCAUCUUUGUCACUUAUUCCAUGUCAAGUGGGUUAGAAUGUAGUGAUUGUGAUAAGGAGGCUUUUCACAUCCAUUUCUACCAGUAGUAACCCAAGACGCAGAGGGGGGUGAAGAACAAGGGUCAUAUUUAUAAUCUGGAAUGCUGCAAAAUGUAUCUCUUCAAGUUUUCAGCUGAACUGAGAUAUUUAUCUUAACAAGAUCUAAUUAGACCUAAUUUCCAUAGCAUAUCAAUUAUUUUCCUCAUUAGAGUAGCUAAUGCCAUGUUCAGAUAUCAUGGCAAUCAAGCUUGUGAUUUCUGGAAAAACUGGUUAGAAGGCUUAGUAUUAAGUGUGUUUCCAACUGUGAAAUUUAUCCUUCUGAGCAAUGCCUCCCAGUUUACUCACUUUGUUCCAGGAUUCUCUGCAGCAUAUGGCCACUGGAACCCAUUAAAUAACACAAAGUAAGACAGGCAGCGAUGAGUCAAAAAUAGCUGCACUAGUGAAUCGCCUUUCAAAAUUCUGUCUCUAACAAGAAAAAUAAUGAAGAAUAAGGCAUACAAUUAGAAGAAAUUAAGGUCAAUUUUCAAGCCGGGUUGCCUACAUGGUGGUUUCAAAAUCCACGUUAGGCACCUCAAAUAAAAGCAGCCUGAUUGAACACCUGCAGCUCUUGGCAAUGCACUCGUGUGUAUAAGGCAGCCAGGCAAUUCUUGCACUCGGAGUCUCUACCUCCUGAUUUUAUUUUCCCCAGUUCCUAAACAUCCUAAAACUCUGGGUUCCAACCACUAGGUUUAACAUGUUCCUUUUUCCUCCUAAGGAAGAUACCCAGUGCUUCCAGUGCAGGGCCAUAUGUGUGCCAUAUACUUGUUGGACAAGUCCCACUGGCUCAGCGUGAGAGUGAAGGCACUUUUUUCAUUACAGGAGCUUGUCACAUUUUAUUUGGCCAAAUGCAUUGUCACAAGACACUUGGAUUCCUUGCAUCCAGCCUGCGUCAUCUACAAGUUUGGUGUCUGUUCUAAGGUUUUUUUCUAGAGGUUUUGUUACAGAGGUCAGUAUAUCUGCAAGGAGAUUUAUCUUCUAGAGUGGCUGCCUGCAGCAUUGAGAUUAUUUGGGCUUUGGAGGCAUCCAGAUCCCACAGCUGAAGCACCUUCUUCCUAGGGAGCUACAACAGUCAGGCUGAAUCUCACCUCACUGUUUUCUGGGCUGUUGCCUCCAAUCCCAGAUCAGACACACAACAUUUUGCUAAUAUGAAAAGCAGAGGUAGAGACCUCUGCUGCUAUAAGAAUGUUACAUUAGCAAUGGAUCUGAGCUCAAUGUAUGGUUGUACUGACAUGCUGCAUGGCUGAGGGCAGCUUUCAUUCACAGCUACCCCCUAACCAAGCAUUUAUUAAUUUUUUCUCAUUUAAAAUACGCCUCAUGCUCUCAAUGAGUACAUCUUGAAUGAGGCACAGGGAACAUGCAAGUUUCUGAAUAAAAGGAAUUCUUUACUUGAUGCAUUUUCAUAGAAUCACAAAAUAGUUUUGAAGCUUUGUAGUUAUUAUUAUUAUUUCGUUAUGUUUGUAUCCAACUCCCUUCAUUCGCAAAUAAAAAGAUGCUUCAUGUGGCUGUCCAAAUAAUGUAUUCAAAGUAAACAAGAAAAUAAACAACUCUGCUCUUGUGACCUGUGUUAUGAAGAAUAAAAAGUUACCUAAAGGUCCAGAGAAGGUA
This is a non-coding RNA of Zonotrichia albicollis (white-throated sparrow), 4529 nucleotides long. NCBI's taxonomy places the organism in Eukaryota, Metazoa, Chordata, Aves, Passeriformes, Passerellidae. The record is from RefSeq and is a predicted model, not a curated record.